UACGUAGGGUGCGAGCGUUGCCCGGAUUUAUUGGGCGUAAAGGGCGCGUAGGCGGCCACGCACGUCCGUUGUGAAAUCGCCCGGCUCAACUGGGUGGGGUCAGCGGAUACGGUGUGGCUAGAGCAAGCUAGGGGGCAAUGGAAUUCCCGGUGUAGUGGUGGAAUGCGUAGAUAUCGGGAGGAACACCAGUGGCGAAGGCGGUUGCCUGGAGCUUUGCUGACGCUGAUGCGCGAAAGCGUGGGGAGCAAACAGG
This 253-nucleotide ribosomal RNA is filed under the name uncultured bacterium. RNAcentral's name for it is "partial 16S ribosomal RNA". It matches the Rfam family "Bacterial small subunit ribosomal RNA", at positions 524 to 776 of the family's 1533-position model. The record is from RNAcentral.